GGCUCCUCUUGGUCAGUGCGGUUUCGCCUUUAUGGUGGUGGAGUACGCCCAAGCUGUGGACAGCAAAUAACCCUGUACAAAGGGGAAUGGAGAUUGCCUCUAUCCACCUAGAUUCAUAAGAUGCCCUGAGGUGAUCUUGGCAUCACGGAAGGUAUGCACAUCACACCAUCAGCUUCAGAGAAUGGCAGCCAUUUAUUUGUCCCGUGGGUUUUUUUCCAGGGAACCAAUCUGCCCUUUUGAAGAAAAGACAGAGGUAGAAAGGAUGGUGGAGGACUACCUGGCAAACGGUUAUCAGGUAAGCAGAAAAUGUACUGUUGUUAAAA
RNAcentral lists this small RNA (323 nucleotides) under Pongo abelii (Sumatran orangutan). RNAcentral's name for it is "retained intron". Lineage: Eukaryota; Metazoa; Chordata; Mammalia; Primates; Hominidae. The record is from RNAcentral.